Molecule: ribosomal RNA, 497 nt
Filed under: uncultured bacterium
Lineage: Bacteria
Description: partial 16S ribosomal RNA
Rfam family: Bacterial small subunit ribosomal RNA
Source: RNAcentral
GAUGAACGCUGGCGGCGUGCCUAAUACAUGCAAGUCGAGCGAACAGACGAGGAGCUUGCUCCUCUGACGUUAGCGGCGGACGGGUGAGUAACACGUGGAUAACCUACCUAUAAGACUGGGAUAACUUCGGGAAACCGGAGCUAAUACCGGAUAAUAUAUUGAACCGCAUGGUUCAAUAGUGAAAGACGGUUUUGCUGUCACUUAUAGAUGGAUCCGCGCCGCAUUAGCUAGUUGGUAAGGUAACGGCUUACCAAGGCAACGAUGCGUAGCCGACCUGAGAGGGUGAUCGGCCCCACUGGAACUGAGACGCGGUCCAGACUCCUACGGGAGGCAGCAGUAGGGAAUCUUCCGCAAUGGGCGAAAGCUUGACGGAGCAACGCCGCGUGAGUGAUGAAGGUCUUCGGAUCGUAAAACUCUGUUAUUAGGGAAGAACAAAUGUGUAAGUAACUAUGCACGUCUUGACGGUACCUAAUCAGAAAGCCACGGCUAACUACGUG